UACGGAGGGUGCGAGCGUUAAUCGGAAUUACUGGGCGUAAAGCGCACGCAGGCGGUCUGUUAAGCUAGAUGUGAAAGCCCCGCGCUCAACGUGGGAGGGUCAUUUAGAACUGGCAGACUAGAGUCUUGGAGAGGGGAGUGGAAUUCCAGGUGUAGCGGUGAAAUGCGUAGAGAUCUGGAGGAACAUCAAUGGCGAAGGCA
Molecule: ribosomal RNA, 200 nt
Filed under: uncultured bacterium
Lineage: Bacteria
Description: partial 16S ribosomal RNA
Rfam family: Bacterial small subunit ribosomal RNA
Source: RNAcentral